Long non-coding RNA from Malurus melanocephalus (red-backed fairy wren), 2456 nucleotides. RefSeq lists it as uncharacterized. The record is from RefSeq and is a predicted model, not a curated record. Lineage: Eukaryota; Metazoa; Chordata; Aves; Passeriformes; Maluridae. The transcript is spliced from 3 exons.
GAAAAAGCAGCAAGUUAUUUCAGUGUAAGCACCUUAGAUAGCUGCCAUCUGCCCUGCAGUUGUGUAAACCCCACUGUAGCUGUGUGCAGUGGGCUCAGCUGGGUUCCAGUUCCUGCAGAUCAGCCAGCUCUGGGGGCAGUGCUGACCAGCCCUGCACUGGGGCAAUGCAGUGCUGCCCCCCAGGGAACAGAGCAAAGCUCCCGGGAAAUAAUUCAACAGUUUGGUUGGCCUGUGAUGCAAAUACAGACUUCUCAGGUUAUGCAAAAAUAAGCUGGAAACCCACAGAACAUCACCAAAAUAGACUAAAGGGAGARUGACUGAUGAUUGUCCAAAUGGGCCUGAAAGGAAACGAAAAGGCUGGGAAAGACAGAGGACAGGAAGGUUUCUGAGUAGCUGUGGUCCCCAAAAUCCUCUCCUCUGUCCUUCUUUUAUUUUUGUAGUCUGAUGACAGAGAAAAAAACUAACCCAUCAUUUCCAUAAUCCUAAAUCCUUAUCCUUCAUCUGGAAAACUGACACSAAUUAUGACUUUAGAUUCACAAUUUACUAAUUCAGAAUCUUGUCAGAGAACAGUUAUUUGCAUAUUCAACUCUGUUAUUUUCACUGGUCUGUGCCUAUAUUCUGUGUCAAACAAAGCUUUUAUGUUACCUUUUAAUGGUGUUACAAAUAGAAGGGUCUCUUCAUUAUGUGGGCCAUAUUGGUUAGCUCAAUACUUCCAACUGUUCUUCAUCUCUGUUACUUUUUGAUUCAAGAAGCAAAUUUACUGAAAAAAAUGUCAAGGAAAAAAAAGUAUUUUAAAAUUGAUCACUUAAUUGUUGAUGUCUAACAAAGCCAUCUUUGAGUUAUUUUGGAAACAUGGUAAAUUUAGGAUGUAGCUGAUCUUAAAUGGGGCAUUUCUGGAUAAGAUUUAAAGCAAGACUUGAAAAAUUAAGACACAAUCUACAGGGAGGAGCCAAGUCAUGAAGUCUCUUCUUUCUCUCCUUUCCCAGUCUGCCACAUACAGCCAUAAUUCACUAAGGRAGUGUUGGAACAUUUUCACAACUGCAAGAGCUGGGACAGAAGGAAUGGGUGAAGGAAAUGCAUUUGACCAUUUAGCUCAUACAUGGAGAUUCCCGUGCAAUGAAAACGUACAGCAUCGUGCCAGGACUAAAAGAAACAGUUUGUGAAAAGGACUCAGAGAAACAAACCUGCUUACAGGCUCCAUUCAGCUCUGAAAAUGACAGCCCCGCUCUGACCAACGCUGUUCUCUCUACAUUUUCCUGCAGGAGAGGAGAAAUGCGCAAUGUCGCUGCUCCCCGUUGGUGACUUUGUGUCUCUUUUCUGAUCAUCUCUCCAAGCCUUGCUCAUUGCCUGGAAAAGUUGAUACUUAAUGGUAACAGCCCAAGGAAACAGUUUCUCCUUUCCCCACCACAUUUCACUGCUGGAACUGCAAGCUGUGAUGAGGGACAGCUCUUGUCUCAAUGAAAUAGAGUGAAGGUUCCAUUCACUGCACCAGRGUCAAAACUUCACCCUCGGGACCUAUUGGUAGAAAUAGGAGGGAAUUUCCAUUUUCACAGAGAAUUUGCAACCCUUAAUUGUGUUGAAACUUCAAAUAUUUUCUUCCCAGGGCAAAGUUCGUAUCUUAUUUCAGAUGAAUGUAGUGGCUGAGCRUCAUCUGCUGCUGGAAAACCUUUAGAAGUUCCCUAAAACUAAAAGAKGCAUAAAAGAGAAGCAGAAUGGGAAAGGGUUGUUGGUAUUAAACACCAACACAAAGCAAGCUGGGCUUUUUGUCUGUGCCCUUCCCCCUUUUUGUUCACACACUCCUCUUCACCCUUCAGACAGCCCUAGAAURCUAAUUUUUCUAAUCACUAGGGGAACGAGAACUAUUAUAGAAAUCAACCAAAAUAUUAUUUUAAACCUUGUUUAAUUAGACUUGGUCCACACUACAAAUAAAAUCCUAAUCUUUCCCUUCUUAACUUUACAAAAUGGUAUUUCCCACACCCUGUACAACCUGUCACAUUCAAAUUCAAAGAAAAUAUUUGAAACCAUUCUCAAAAAGGAUGUUUAAUACAAACUGGCAGGUGGRAUUUAUGAAUAAAUGGUUUUAAAURAACAUCURAUUGUCUCUUCACUGAUGCUUAGGAUUUCUCUCCAAUAGCAGCAGAUGAUAUGGAUGCUCAGAAAGAUUCAGUAAAAUGAUACUGGAAUGAUAAAGGUCUGAUCUUGUUAUUCUUUGUUGGGGUUUCCACCAAUUUCUGAACUUUAAGGUAUUCAAUUAUUCUGUUUUUCUCAAGGGUAAAGUAUGCAUGUAAACCCCCAUUAGCACUAAGAACAAUGUGCAAACCUUCACACAUCAAAGAUGUGACUACGUGCUUUUGUCUAUCCUAAUUGGUUUGAGAGAAAACCUUGAUAAAUCAACAUGAGAUUUCUUUAUCUUUUCCCUUUUUCUCUCUUAAUUUUUGUUGUCUUGAUUAGAUAAA